Molecule: ribosomal RNA, 468 nt
Filed under: uncultured bacterium
Lineage: Bacteria
Description: partial 16S ribosomal RNA
Rfam family: Bacterial small subunit ribosomal RNA
Source: RNAcentral
GACGAACGCUGGCGGCGUGCUUAACACAUGCAAGUCGAACGGAAAGGCCCUGCGUUCGUGGUGUGCCCGAGUGGCGAACGCGUGAGUAACACGUGAGUAACCUGCCCUUCACUUUGGGAUAACUUCACGUAACUGGGCCUAAUACCGUACCGCAUCCCCCCCUCCAUGGUGGGGGUUGGAAAGUUUCGGCGGUCGGGGAUGGACUCGCGGCUUAUCAGCUUGUUGGUGGGGUAGUGGCUGACCAAGGCUUUGACGGGUAGCCGGCCUGAGAGGGUGGACGGCCACAAUAGGACUGAGGGACGGACCAGAGUGGUACAGGAGGCAGCAGUGGGGAACAUUACACAAUGAGAGGGAGCCUGAGGAAGCAACGCCGGGUGCGGAAUGACGGUCUUCGGGUAGUAAACAGCUGUCGCCUGUGACGAAGCGUGAGUGACGGUAAUGGAUGAAGAAGCACCGGCUAACUACGUG